GUUGUAGUCUGGAGAAGUGUUUUCCGCGCUGGACCGUGUAUAAGUCUCUUGGAACAGAGCGUCAUAGAGGGUGAGAAUCCCGUCUUUGACACGGACUACCAGUGCUUUGUGAUGCGCUCUCGAAGAGUCGAGUUGUUUGGGAAUGCAGCUCAAAAUGGGUGGUAAAUUCCAUCUAAAGCUAAAUAUUGGCGAGAGACCGAUAGCGAACAAGUACCGUGAGGGAAAGAUGAAAAGCACUUUGGAAAGAGAGUUAAACAGUACGUGAAAUUGCUGAAAGGGAAACGCUUGAAGUCAGUCGCGUCAUUUGGAACUCAGCCUUGCUUUUGCUUGGUGCACUUUCUGAAUGAUGGGCCAGCAUCGAUUUCGACCGUCGGAAAAGGGUUGGGGGAAUGUGGCAUCCUUCGGGGUGUGUUAUAGCCUCUAGUCGCAUACGGCGGUUGGGAUCGAGGAACGCAGCGCGCCGCAAGGCAGGGGUUCGCCCACUUUCGCGCUUAGGAUGCUGGCAUAAUGGCUUUAAACGACCCGUCUUGAAACACGGACCAAGGAGUCUAACAUGCCUGCGAGUGUUUGGGUGGAAAACCCGAGCGCGUAAUGAAAAGUGAAAGUUGAGACCUCUGUCGUGGAGGGCAUCGACGCCCGGACCUGACGUUCUCUGAAGGAUCCGCGGUAGAGCAUGUAUGUUGGGACCCGAAAGAUGGUGAACUAUGCCUGAAUAGGGUGAAGCCAGAGGAAACUCUGGUG
Molecule: ribosomal RNA, 741 nt
Filed under: Picipes rhizophilus
Lineage: Eukaryota; Fungi; Basidiomycota; Agaricomycetes; Polyporales; Polyporaceae
Description: LSU rRNA
Rfam family: Eukaryotic large subunit ribosomal RNA
Source: RNAcentral